CCAUCCGGCGCUGCAUCAGGGUGGAGCGAGACCCUUCUCCACGGCGACCACGCUCGUUGACCUCACCCGCCACGGUAACCUCCGGACCCCGUCCCCUCUCCGCGUCCACACCCCGAUUAAUUUCGUCAUCCCCCUACCCCUGCCCCGUGCAGGUAAGCAGAAGCAGAUCAAGGACGGCCUACCCCAGCUCCUCCCGCCGCAAGGCCAAGGAGAGGCCGGCGGGCGUUCGGAGAUGGCCGACGACCACGCAGAAGGGCUCGUCCACUCCGACCUCGACGGCCAAGGAGGAGCUCGUCCGGUCAGAUGACGCCCACCAAUUUAAAGUAUUUCUCGUUUUGCUGGAUCACACCGAACGCCACUCUCACCCUGUGCAUUCGCAGAUGGGGUGGAUAUCCAACUGACCGAGGAGAGCCGUCGCGGCUCAGCAAACAUGUGUUGUUAUACAUGCCGGUGGCGUCGUCGACGGCGUCGGCGCAGCCGCAGCCCCAAUCGUUGUCAAGAGCCUACCGAGGCUGAGAAGAAAGAGAUGGCGCCAAGGUGGCUCUUGGCGACUUCUGGUGACCUUGAUCGGCGGGAGGGGCGCAUAAGCUUGCAGGGAUGAAGGCUUGGAGGCACGAUGGGAGACCUGCAGGUCUAGCUGCUCUGUCCCAAGUUUCACCACGGCGAGCUCGGCACAUAAAGAUCGAUGGUUUCAAGCAGAUAGACGGUGGUGGUUAUUGUUGCAACAAAUAGAAAAGAAGACUUUAUCAGUGCACCCCAUGCCCAUGAUGAUUCGUUGCUGCUGCUGCACCACGCAUCCAAGAGGUUCAGGUUAGCGCGAAAGAAAGGAAGACAAAAUAGAAAUAAGAAAGAUACAACAGAGGAUGGGGAUUUUGCGAACCUUCCUCGAGCUCGCCAUCAAUUCAUGUCUCGUGCUGCCAUGGUCAGUCACCGUAGCAACAAUGCUUGGAGAGCUUCAUGAGUUGAAAAAGUCACCACUCUUUGUAUGUGGAGCUGUCCUCCGAGGAGCUGGAUGCAGAGUGAAUGAUCUUCUUGAUCUCGACAUGUAGAAGAAGGUGAUUAUGUUUUUCCUGUAGUUUAUUUUGGUUGCACAAAAUGCCUUCGAUUGUGCUUGCUAGUAAAAAAUUCCUUUCAGGUCAUUGCAACCAUGAAUAAAUGGUUUUAAUUGCCUUUAAGGUUGUUGCCUUUAACCAGGAAUGUAUCAAGAGCAAGCGUGUAAUUGCAUUGGAUGCGGUAUAAUGUUGAAUUGCAUCUAACUGACAUUUGCAUUUUUACAUAUCUGCCCAUGAUUUCUCAAAGCACACCAACAGGUUUGAUCUUUAAGUCUAUAUACAAAUUUAUUGUCCAAGUUCACGACGUGAGUGACAAGGAUGCAUCACAUGUAGUUUAUUCAUGGUUUCCUUAAUGAGCUAUUUCACAAGAGCUUAUGGUUAGAUUAAUAAGGCCUUCUCAAAAAUGUAUAUUUUCUGAGUGAGUCUCUUUGCCUUAUGUGAUAUAUUUGAUGGUUCGGAUACUGUUGAAUCUCAAAACUGAAUCUCAAAACAGAGGAGGUCAGAACCGAGUGAUUUGCUCAUAUCUUUUAUAGUACUUAAUUGGAAUUAUGGUUAACUAUCAACAAAGAAACGGGUUUCCCUUGUUAUGUAAUAUUUGUGAACCCAAACUUAGAUUGUGGUUAGUUUGUAUGUUUUGUGUUCUCUGAUCUUUAUUCCUCUGGUCUGUGAUCCUGUAACUUAGAUUGUUGGAUCUAGAGCUUCUUAAUCGAAUAGAUGCUCUAUAUUCAUGUGCUCACUGAUCUAGUAACUUAGAUUGUUUGGUCUUAUUCCUGUGUUCUCUGAUCCUGUAACUUAGAUUGUUGGACCUGGAGCUUCUUAAACUUAAAUUUUACAUAGUUGUUAUCUGAAUAAAGUAUAUGCCAUUUGCUUAUUUUAUCUCAAGACUUACUGCACAUUUUGGGCUUCUUUCCCAGUGCUGUUUUACCAAGCAAGUGUUUAAGGUGAAGAAGCAAAUCUUGGCAAGCCUAGCUCUGAAGAUAAAUGUCAAUGUCGGUGUUCAAGCUAAACUUGCCACUUCUUGUUGUGCUUUGUGCGUUUCUUGGGUCGUCGAGUCUAACAUUCGGUCGUAUGAGGAAGUAUGUUUCGUCUCGACUCUUUGGUUUCCAUGGUUAGCGGUUUACCAGAUCAGGGAAUGCUGAAACUCACAGGCGCAUGUGCGUGUUGUGCACCUAUAUUAAACCCUAAUAAUAUUUCAGUCCAUUUUUAGUGGGCUUUUGGAACGCCUGACUAUUUAUAUGUUUCUCUAGUUUACCUUGCAUAGAAAAUCAAAGGAGGUGAAAACGUAGAGGUACAUGCUUUUCACACCUUCCCUUAUUUCCAGCCCAGUUGUUAGUGUAUUUAGGAAUGGUUCAGUUGCUUGGUUUAAUGGAUAACUAGGAUUCUUCAGAACGAUCACAAAAUAGUGUCUAAUUUUUACUAGAUUGAGAUUCAUUGAGGCCAUCAUCAUUUUGACUUGUUCAUUUCACAUCGGUUCUGUUAUAUAAUAAAACGGUGACCAUUUUAGUUUGAAGCGUCAUUUGCAGGCCUAGGAGAAGUUUUCUUCAUGCCAGCACUUACUUGCUAGAUUAUUUCAAUAAGACCAGAUGUAUGUGGUUUUGGAAGUAAGCUACUUAGGCACAUGCUCUUUCUAUAGAGGUAAUUAUGGUGCCUGUUCUUAGUGGAAUUGUUUUAGGUAAUUUUGUACCAGGUGUGGCCUCUGAAAAUCCAAUGAUUUCGUUAGGCCUUAGUUUCUACGAUGUUUCACAUAAGAAGCUACCUGUACUUCUUGGUUUGUUUUGCAGCAGCAUGAAUAAAAGGCUUCGGCCUGCUAUAUUGUUUGUACACUAGUUGUAGGUUUACUAGAUGGUUGAGUUGCAGUGAUGAUCUUUGAUUUGGCCCCUAGAUUAGGAUAUCACUCCCGUUGCAGCUUCAGAAGUGAUCACUCAACCACUCAUUGUUUCACUGUUAUAGGAAUAAUUUUUGGUAAUGUACUGAAUCAGAAGUAAUAAUAUGAUUUUUAUUGUAUUAUGGGCCCGUGCUGGUGAGCUGGCCGCCUCAAAAAACUACAUAUCGUGUAAAGUUUUGGGAAUAUGUGCUUUGGGUUGGUACCCUUUUUUUUCGCACUUCCGCUCAUUGUUUCUUAGAUUCACUAACCCAAAUGUGAUGCAUCAAUGCGCAGAUUUCGUUAGCCAACUUUGUAUGGCAGAGAAAAACCAAUAUCUCAAAGAGCAAAAGUGGGCUACGUAGGGUCCAUCUAGUUCUUAUUCAUUCUACAUGUUUAGUGGCUGUUUCUUGUCACCCUGCCUUGCUGAGGCUCACAUACAUGAGUGGACCAGAGAUGAACCAUCCGUGGUGGCAUGAUCACCAUUUUCAGUUUGUCUGUACUACUUAAUGGCACAAUUCAUAUCUAACUCUCGUGGGAUGCAUUUGCAGGGAGCUUCUUAUAUCCUUCAAAAGAUCAACUAGUGAAAAGCCUCCACGCAUAUUGUUCUAUAGGUAUGCAUACUACCAUGCCGAAUCUUGCACGGAUGCUCUGACAAGAGUUUGAGUGAGAGAAUAUCUUGUGGUAUGCUUGAGCAUUUGAGCUGUCCUUUUCGCAGAAACUGUGUGAGUGAGGGCCAGUUGUACCAAGUUAAGUUCUACUGCUGUCCGUGGUGUAUGUGCUAUGUUACCGUUCCGGUCCCUUGUGACAUCCAUUUUUGUAAUUGCUCCAUAGACCUGGAGUGUUAAAAGUGCCACGUCUAUCUUAGUUGCUUAUUUGUGUUUCCACUUGUGGAUGUCAGUAUGAGCUGCUGUGAUAUAUAUGAAAAAAAUUUACUGUUGAUUA
This is a long non-coding RNA of Lolium rigidum, 3858 nucleotides long. RefSeq lists it as uncharacterized. The record is from RefSeq and is a predicted model, not a curated record. NCBI's taxonomy places the organism in Eukaryota, Viridiplantae, Streptophyta, Magnoliopsida, Poales, Poaceae. The transcript is spliced from 6 exons.